Molecule: ribosomal RNA, 637 nt
Filed under: Streptomyces miharaensis
Lineage: Bacteria; Bacillati; Actinomycetota; Actinomycetes; Kitasatosporales; Streptomycetaceae
Description: bacterial SSU rRNA
Rfam family: Bacterial small subunit ribosomal RNA
Source: RNAcentral
GCAAGUCGAACGAUGGAAGCCCUUCGGGGUGGAUUAGUGGCGAACGGGUGAGUAACACGUGGGCAAUCUGCCCUUCACUCUGGGACAAGCCCUGGAAACGGGGUCUAAUACCGGAUACAACCACUGACCGCAUGGUCGGGUGGUGGAAAGCUCCGGCGGUGAAGGAUGAGCCCGCGGCCUAUCAGCUUGUUGGUGAGGUAAUGGCUCACCAAGGCGACGACGGGUAGCCGGCCUGAGAGGGCGACCGGCCACACUGGGACUGAGACACGGCCCAGACUCCUACGGGAGGCAGCAGUGGGGAAUAUUGCACAAUGGGCGAAAGCCUGAUGCAGCGACGCCGCGUGAGGGAUGACGGCCUUCGGGUUGUAAACCUCUUUCAGCAGGGAAGAAGCGAAAGUGACGGUACCUGCAAAAGAAGCGCCGGCUAACUACGUGCCAGCAGCCGCGGUAAUACGUAGGGCGCAAGCGUUGUCCGGAAUUAUUGGGCGUAAAGAGCUCGUAGGCGGCUUGUCACGUCGAUUGUGAAAGCCCGAGGCUUAACCUCGGGUCUGCAGUCGAUACGGGCUAGCUAGAGUGUGGUAGGAGAGAUCGGAAUUCCUGGUGUAGCGGUGAAAUGCGCAGAUAUCAGGAGGAACAC